This is a long non-coding RNA of Papaver somniferum (opium poppy), 1689 nucleotides long. RefSeq lists it as uncharacterized. The transcript has 3 exons. NCBI's taxonomy places the organism in Eukaryota, Viridiplantae, Streptophyta, Magnoliopsida, Ranunculales, Papaveraceae. The record is from RefSeq and is a predicted model, not a curated record.
AUAAAAUGGGGCAUCAGAGAGUACGAUGGGGAAACUGAGAUUGGUGGUUUUCGGUAUGAGAGGAAAGUGUUAGCUUCUGAUCGUAUUGGAAAUGGGAAAGAUGAUAAGGGUUCAUGUGGAUAUUAAGCACUAAGACAUAGCUUAGGUAUACGAGGGCUUAAAAUUGAAGCUGGGUGGGUUCCUUUCAUUUCCGCAAGUGAAAACUACCGACAAACCCAUUUUUCUAUUUCUCUCCCCUGAAAAAUCCACGUUCAGAAAAAGUCACGGGUGCACUCAUUUUUUCUGAGAAAAUUUCUCCCAGACCCGUAUUUUAUAAAAUUAUGUUCCAUUUUUUUUCUUCUUCUCUUCUCUGAUUCGUCUUGUUCUUCCUCUUUACUCUACUGUGACCUCCCUACGAGUAAAAUUAACCAUAGGGAAAACCCUAGAAAUCAGAAGCAAAUCAUAACCCUAGAAAUCAGAAGCAAAUCAUCUUCACGGAAAGAGAAGAAGGUUAUCACAUCCGCAACAGGAGAAAGUUCGGAUUUGAGACUAGAUGUGGGUUUAGCGCCUUCAAAUAAUGGCACAAAAAUACUUUCUCAAGAUGCACAGGGGAAGUUAGUUAGCAAUGGCAAGGUAAUCUCAAUUUCAAUAGUUAAAUAUUUUGUGAUUCUUUACAUUACAUAAAUUGUGGAUGAAACUCCACAAUCUAUUUACAUCUUUGAGUUGAAUGGUCCAAUCUCAAUUUCAAUAGUUAAAUAUUUUGUGAUUCUUUACAUUACAUAAAUUGUGGAUGAAACUCCACAAUCUAUUUACAUCUUUGAGUUGAAUGGUCUUUUGUAUAAGUACUAAAAUGUCAAUGAUCAAAACUCAACCAAGGUUGAUGACAAACCAAGACAGGGACAGAACUGAGAAGUUGAUCAUCAUAUGUAUUGUGUGUCGUGACAUAAUAAAUUAAGAAACUAAUUACAUAUUUUCUUAAGUAAUUAGCUCAAUGUGUGGAAUUAUCAUGCACCAUGGCUGUCUUGUCAUUCUGAAUGAGAUUAGGAUGGCCAUGGCAUUUUGCUGCUGGAUGUAUGUGAGUAUAGUACUAACAACUUGACUAUGUGAAAACCACAAUAUGAUAAAAGUGAAAAUUACAAGAGCUGGCAUUUUGCUGGUGUACAUGUAUUUUCUUAAAAUAACCUUAAGAAUUUGCUUGCAAGAGCUGUAAGCAUAAGUUUUGGUUCGGUAUGUCUCUAAAUCAACAUGUUUGGUUCGGUAUCUCUCUACAAGUGGUUUCAAGCACUCAUAAAUAAACAUGACCAUCAUUAAAGUAAUAUUACUAUUAAUAUUGUGGGAAGCCAAAAUAAAUACAGAAAGACUUGGUGAUGUCAUGGUAUUGCAGACUAUUGAGCUGAAUUGCAGGUGGAAUCUGGUGUUUUGAGCACAAGUUGAAGCGGAUGGAGAAUGAGUUUUUUUACCGCAGUAAAUGGGGAUGACAAUACUCAUGGAGAAUGGUAAUGCCGAGGAGAUUCUGCGCUAAUAUUCAGCUGUUGUUGCUAUGGAUUAUGGUGUAUGUUGAUUAUUUACGUAUUGAUUGAGCGAGAACAAAUAGCUUCUUCUCAUAUUUUUCAAGUGUGUCUCGAUGCUGCCCUUUAUCAUUCUCGGUAUUGUUGAAUUCUUUUAUGCAGCUAAGAAAAUGGUUGCAUAGUCUAUUAUGCAUCUACAAAA